GAUGAACGCUGGCGGCGUGCCUAAUACAUGCAAGUCGAGCGAACAGAUGAGGAGCUUGCUCCUCUGAUGUUAGCGGCGGACGGGUGAGUAACACGUGGAUAACCUACCUAUAAGACUGGGAUAACUUCGGGAAACCGGAGCUAAUACCGGAUAAUAUAUUGAACCGCAUGGUUCAAUAGUGAAGGACGGUUUUGCUGUCACUUAUAGAUGGAUCCGCGCCGCAUUAGCUAGUUGGUAAGGUAACGGCUUACCAAGGCAACGAUGCGUAGCCGACCUGAGAGGGUGAUCGGCCACACUGGAACUGAGACACGGUCCAGACUCCUACGGGAGGCAGCAGUAGGGAAUCUUCCGCAAUGGGCGAAAGCCUGACGGAGCAACGCCGCGUGAGUGAUGAAGGUCUUCGGAUCGUAAAACUCUGUUAUUAGGGAAGAACAAAUGUGUAAGUAACUAUGCACGUCUUGACGGUACCUAAUCAGAAAGCCACGGCUAACUACGUG
RNAcentral lists this ribosomal RNA (497 nucleotides) under uncultured bacterium. Its description in RNAcentral is "partial 16S ribosomal RNA". It matches the Rfam family "Bacterial small subunit ribosomal RNA", at positions 28 to 507 of the family's 1533-position model. The record is from RNAcentral.